This is a long non-coding RNA of Ruditapes philippinarum (Manila clam), 505 nucleotides long. RefSeq lists it as uncharacterized. The transcript has 3 exons. The record is from RefSeq and is a predicted model, not a curated record. Lineage: Eukaryota; Metazoa; Mollusca; Bivalvia; Venerida; Veneridae.
GAUAAACAUUUGUCGCAGAGAUGAACAAUAAUAGUCAAUCUUGAUGUCUUUAAUCACCUUAUUUUAAACAUUUAAUGGAACUGAUUGUGACACAAGUUGUAUAAUAUGAUGUGGCGAGCAUUGAUACUUGUUUUGGCCGCUAACUGUAUAGUAUCAGAAUACACAAUAAUUUCGCCAGCUUUCAAUGAUGUAUUGGUGAACAGCAGUUUGGAAUUGGCAUGUUAUACUAACAAAAAUGUAACUGUUACACAAUGGGGAAGUUUAAAUCACUUGGACACAUUUUCGCACCUGUAUCUUUCGGACAAUGGAAGCUGUAAAACAGAUGGGUUCCUAGCUGACAAACGAUAUUUUGAAACGAGUUGCUAUAGUAACGGCACCUUCAAAAUAAACAUAAAACGUGUAAAUUUAAGUAACCAUGGUCAAGAAUGGUAUUGCUACGGCGAUAAAAGAAAAAGUAAUAUUGCUAAUAUUACUGUUCGAGGUAAGAAUGUGUUAUUUUAGUAUA